Long non-coding RNA from Oncorhynchus keta (chum salmon), 1795 nucleotides. RefSeq lists it as uncharacterized. Lineage: Eukaryota; Metazoa; Chordata; Actinopteri; Salmoniformes; Salmonidae. The transcript is spliced from 4 exons. The record is from RefSeq and is a predicted model, not a curated record.
CGGCCUAGCCUAGUGGUUAGCGCGUUGGACCAGUAACCAGCAGGUAGCCUAGUGGUUAGCCUGUGUUGUUGAUACUGGGGCGGCCUAGCCUAGUGGUUAGCCUGUGUUGUUGAUACUGGGGCGGCCUAGCCUAGUGGUUAGCGCGUUGGACCAGUAACCAGCAGGUAGCCUAGUGGUUAGCUCACUGUGUUGUUGAUACUGGGGCGGCCUAGCCUAGUGGUUAGCCUGUGUUGUUGAUACUGGGGCGGCGUAGCCUAGUGGUUAGCUCACUGUGUUGUUGAUACUGGGGCGGCCUAGCCUAGUGGUUAGCCUGUGUUGUUGAUACUGGGGCGGCGUAGCCUAGUGGUUAGCUCACUGUGUUGUUGAUACUGGGGCGGCCUAGCCUAGUGGUUAGCCUGUGUUGUUGAUACUGGGGCGGCGUAGCCUAGUGGUUAGCUCACUGUGUUGUUGAUACUGGGGCGGCCUAGCCUAGUGGUUAGAGCAGGUAGCCUAGUGGUUAGAGCAGGUAGCCUAGUGGUUAGCGCGUUGGACUAGUAACCAGCAGGUAGCCUAGUGGUUAGAGCGUUGGACCAGUAACCAGCAGGUAGCCUAGUGGUUAGAGCGUUGGACCAGUAACCAGCAGGUAGCCUAGUGGUUAGCGCGUUGGACCAGUAACCAGCAGGUAGCCUAGUGGUUAGAGCGUUGGACCAGUAACCAGCAGGUAGCCUAGUGGUUAGCGCGUUGGACCAGUAACCAGCAGGUAGCCUAGUGGUUAGCGCGUUGGACCAGUAACCAGCAGGUAGCCUAGUGGUUAGCGCGUUGGACCAGUAACCAGCAGGUAGCCUAGUGGUUAGCGCGUUGGACCAGUAACCAGCAGGUAGCCUAGUGGUUAGCGCGUUGGACCAGUAACCAGCAGGUAGCCUAGUGGUUAGCGCGUUGGACCAGUAACCAGCAGGUAGCCUAGUGGUUAGCGCGUUGGACCAGUAACCAGCAGGUAGCCUAGUGGUUAGCGCGUUGGACCAGUAACCAGCAGGUAGCCUAGUGGUUAGCGCGUUGGACCAGUAACCAGCAGGUAGCCUAGUGGUUAGCGCGUUGGACCAGUAACCAGCAGGUAGCCUAGUGGUUAGCGCGUUGGACCAGUAACCGCAAAGGUUUCUAGAUCAAAUCCCCGAGCUGACAAGGUAAAAAUCUGUCGUUAUGCCCCUGAACAAGGCAGUUAACCCAGGCCGUCAUUGAAAAUAAGAAUUUGUUCUUAACCGACUUGCCUAGUUAAAUAAAGGAUAAAUAAAAUAAAAAUUUAGCAUCUUGAUCUUAAUGAUUAAAUUGAAUGAUUUUACGAGGAGCCUUCAUUCGGUCCAGGAAACAAUGUCGUGAAAAGGGCAAAAAGAACAGCAGAUAACAGUCUUUAGAACUGUGUUUGAGGCUUCUACUAGGAAGGGGAGCUGAAUGAGAGGGGAUUGAGCCAGGUGUCCGGCCGAGUGCCACAGGCUCGUGACGCGCGCUCACGAGAGAGUUAACUCUCGUUCCAUUGCUUUUCUACAGACAAUGGAAUUCUCCGGUUGGAACUUUAUUGAAGAUUUAUGAUAAAAACAUCCUAAAGAUUGACUCUAUACUUAGUUUGACAAGUUUCUACGACCUGUAAUAUAACUUUUUUCAACUUUUCGUCCGACGUUCAGCUGGACCUGGACUACAAAAGUAUAGCCUCAAUCUUUGCAGAAAAAGGUUAACGUGGUGCUUGAAUGAUCUGAUUGAUGAAUGUCAAUCUGAAAGGGUGCCAUAUAUCUAAUAAUCUGAGGCUGGUGUUAGACUUGGUUGA